Molecule: ribosomal RNA, 200 nt
Filed under: uncultured bacterium
Lineage: Bacteria
Description: partial 16S ribosomal RNA
Rfam family: Bacterial small subunit ribosomal RNA
Source: RNAcentral
AGAGUUUGAUCCUGGCUCAGGAUAAACGCUGGCGGCGUGCCUUACGCAUGCAAGUCGAACGGUGUCUUUCGGGGCACAGUGGCGGACGGGUGAGUAACACGUACGUGACCUGACGCGAAGUGGGGGAUACCCGCCCGAAAGGGCGGCUAAUACCGCAUGUGGUCAUCGGGGGUGCCCGGUGAGUAAAGGAGGAAUCCGCU